CGUCUCUUGAUGGUUUACUUAAU
This 23-nucleotide microRNA is filed under the name Schmidtea mediterranea. RNAcentral's name for it is "sme-miR-12-3p". Its record names the gene sme-miR-12-3p. The record is from miRBase by way of RNAcentral. Lineage: Eukaryota; Metazoa; Platyhelminthes; Tricladida; Dugesiidae.